Long non-coding RNA from Bombus huntii, 2544 nucleotides. RefSeq lists it as uncharacterized. Lineage: Eukaryota; Metazoa; Arthropoda; Insecta; Hymenoptera; Apidae. The record is from RefSeq and is a predicted model, not a curated record. The transcript is spliced from 2 exons.
UAGAACGGGAAAGAAAGAAAUAAUGAAAAAAGAAAAAAGAGGGGGAAAUAAAUAUGUACAGCAUACAAAAAUACUAUCGAAGGAAAGCCGAGCGUUUAACGCGUAUCUAUUCUCGCUAGAAUUCUUCGAAGAUGUGCCACAUUGACAAAUACGCGCGUUCGACUCGACGCAAUGUAGCCUCGUUUGCCGUUAAUGGGCAAGAUAUGUUUUCGAAUCUAAAGCUUAAUCGGACUUCUAGUCUGCAGUAAUAUCUGGUUCAUACGACCUAUACGUGUAGCGAAAUCAAACCGAUAAGACGGUUGCCUUUAAGAAAAUUUGCACGAUCCAAGUACACGGUUCAAUUAGAUCGUAGACUUUCGCGCAUUAAUUAACCGUAAGGCGGUGGCCGCUUCUGAAAUGGAAAUCUGCCGAGUUGAAUUUUAAAAGAAAAAUGCGAUUCGUAAUUCGACUUUAUUGUAUAUAACUCGGUUAUAUCGCUUCCUCUUGUGGAAUGGAAAGGCAAGAAGAUCCACGAAGCGUAAUUUACGAUCGACAAUGAGAAAUAGAGCUCGAUAAAAGAAAUAAGGAAAAUGUGGAAGGGGGAUAGCGAGGGGGAGAGAAACGAAAGAAACAAAACUUAAGUCGGAUCUAUUUGGUUCGUGCCCCAAGUUGCUUCGAACAAAACGUGAUCGAGGCCUUACUUUCGAAGUUGUCUGCAGAGGAUAUGUAUGGUCGAUCGGGCUGCAUGUGCUUCGGUCGCUUUCCUAACGACGAGACAUGCUUUUACCAACGAUGAUACUUUUAUGUGCACGUGACGUGCUGUUUUCAUUGACGCAUUACUGAACUCUGAUUGUUAUGAUCAGCGCGUCCCAUGUUCAUACAUAUAUAUGUAUAAAUAUUACUAAAAAAAAAUGAUAGUCUUUGGUUUCGUAUAAAGGAUAAGAUACGUAUCCUUACAAAGGACAAAGAAGAAAGAGAAGGAAGAAGAAGGUGAAGAAGUUACAACAAUUCGGUUCUUUCGGAAUGCACUUCGUUUUCGUUUCGAUGUUAUAGGUUAAGAAGUUUGAAACGAAAGUUGAAGGUUUCGUUUCAAAAAAAUUCAGCGUAAUUAUCACACUAAAUAUUCUUAAGUAACAUUCUUGAAUAAUCGUUGAUGAAACCAGAAGUUAACAGAUCUCGACAACGUCCUAUUUUUGUUUAAUGGAAAAAUCUUUUAAGUUUGAAAAGAAACAACCAAGCCACUAACGAAGUCGUAAGUCGUCAUAUAUGAAGGAACACGUUUAAGAACCGGAAAUAUAAAGUAUACCGUGGCUUCGAGUCAAUUUUACUUUCACAGCAACGUAUUAUUUCAAUACUACGCUUCAUCGUGGAAUCAAUUACUUUCAUAGAACUAAAUCUAUAAUUAAUUUACUCUGUCGCAUAAAAAUCCAUUCUGAUUUUGUAUAUAGCAGCAUCGAUGUUUCGUUUCUGUAUAACUACUUUUACACCCGUACGAAAGGAAGGAAGCUACAUCGUAGGUAAAUAUAAUGGGAAAACAAAUAUACGAUAUAAAUUUAUGUAUGCAACUUUUCAAAAGGAAUCGCUUGGUUUUCAUAGCGAAUUACAUCGUUUCUUUUUGUUUCUUCGUAACAAAGUCGCGCGAUCGUUGAUAUUAAAUCGUUCUCAAAAAAAAGAAAAAGAGCGCACUGAAGUAUAAACGAUGUAAAGAAAGAAACCGGUCUUCAAUUUUACACGUAAUAACUUUACAAAUCAAUAUGAUUAACUCAGAAGUUUGAAAUAUAAUUAAAAAUGAAUUCACCCAACUCCCUCUCCGCCCAACUUCGACGAAAACAGCGAAAACACGUAUUAACUUUCUUUCCACGGAACAACGAAUGAAUUAGGAUGUUCCUCGUGUAAAUUGUUCUGCCCUAUAUGGAAGUACGAAAAACGAUGCAGAACUUAAAAUCGGUGAAAUAUCGUGCGUUUCUUUAGCGAGUAGAGAAUCGGUAACUUUGAAAGUGCUCGACCACAUCAAUAGAUUCUUUUAUAUACUCAUUGCACUUUCUCCGCUCAUUUGUUUUCCAAAAACGUACGACCAAGGUUAUCGACAUACUUUUCAAGAGAACUAAAUCUUAAGAGAAUAAACUUUGCAAAACACUUUUGUUGCAUGUAUUUAUAAAACUAUAGUAAUAAAAAUUGCAAUCCGUAUCCCUAUGCUCAACGUGAAAGGAAAGCGAAAUGAGAAUUAUGCAAUUGAGACAUUUUAUAAUAUAUGCAUGAUUUAUUAAUGUAUUGAAACAAUAUUAUUAAAUGAAUAUUCAUAGAAAUGCAUCUCUGCAUCUUUUGUAUAACUUGCAAUAUAAGUUUUAAUUGCUACACCUAGAGAUAAAGUAAAAUCACAUCAUAAUCAUAAUACGAUAUAGGUAUUAUAUUGUGAAAAUAUUUUACUUUCUAUCACGUUUAAUUAUUAGUGACGUCUUCUUCUUCUAAUUUUCGAAGCAUUGCCGAAUUUUCAAAAAUAUUAACUAAGAUAAUUUAUAUUAACGCAUGUAUAUAGUUCAUAGAUAUGGCAAAAAAUAUCACCGA